Molecule: ribosomal RNA, 253 nt
Filed under: uncultured bacterium
Lineage: Bacteria
Description: partial 16S ribosomal RNA
Rfam family: Bacterial small subunit ribosomal RNA
Source: RNAcentral
UACGGAGGGUGCAAGCGUUGUUCGGAAUUACUGGGCGUAAAGGGCUCGUAGGUGGCCAACUAAGUCAUACGUGAAAUCCCUCAGCUUAACUGGGGAACUGCGUCUGAUACUGGAUGGCUUGAGUUUGGGAGAGGGAUGCGGAAUUCCAGGUGUAGCGGUGAAAUGCGUAGAUAUCUGGAGGAACACCGGUGGCGAAGGCGGCAUCCUGGACCAAUACUGACACUGAGGAGCGAAAGCCAGGGGAGCAAACGGG